GGGGAAUGAAGUUCUCCCCCGGUUUGAUACCGAAACCGCUUAAUGCUGAUGACUUCUGCUUUA
RNAcentral lists this non-coding RNA (63 nucleotides) under chicken gut metagenome. RNAcentral describes it as "Fluoride riboswitch". It matches the Rfam family "Fluoride riboswitch aptamer (crcB RNA motif)", at positions 10 to 62 of the family's 64-position model. The record is from RNAcentral.